UUUCCCACGAUGAUGCUUGCUAUGAGUUUCUGUCUCUCUGUUAAAGGGACGAGACACACCAACCUUAUUAACUUUGUCAAAAGGGCUCCCAUUCUGAUACUGAUGUGGUAAAUUUUUAGGCGGUUCGUUGGCAUAAGUUGGCUUGUCGUCUACUAGUACUUUUGAGUUAUCAAACUUUUUUAUAGGUCUACUAUACACAGCCCUACUAGAGGAUGCAAAAGCCAUGAUGUGUUGAUUGCUACGUCAUAUUUUAAAUAUUUAAAACUCAUCGACAGAUGCACUAUGCAUGAAAACAUUUCUUUUCAGGUAAAUGAUGUUUGUUGACAUUUUUCACAUGCAUUUCCUCCGGAUGU
This 353-nucleotide long non-coding RNA is filed under the name Mytilus galloprovincialis (Mediterranean mussel). The record is from RNAcentral. Lineage: Eukaryota; Metazoa; Mollusca; Bivalvia; Mytilida; Mytilidae.